GUCUGACAGCACACAGGUCUCGCUGGUGUCUCGGUGAUGACGCAAUUUGCACAUAUACCUCUGAAAAUAAUGAUGGUUAAUGUUGGUAAGUUGCACACUUAACAUUAAUUCAUUUGUGAUGAUUUUAAAAAGGAUUAUUUCCUUUUUAUGUUCGUUAUGUUCAUUACAUUAAGUUAUACACAAUUAGCACAAAUACCACUAAAAUAUAAUGCUAAUUGUACUAACAUUCUUAACACUGGUUUUAGCACAGCUGUCACAGUGGAACCGCAAUAGUUAAUGCAGAUGAAUCCUGGCUGAAUCUGCGUCUGCAAACUGACGACCGCCUAGCUCAGGAGGAAAAGUAAUGAGAUCGUUGUUUCACUGUUUCCUGCACUCUGCCUUGAGCACACAAAAAAUCAAAGAUGCAAGACUUACAAGCAGCAGAAACUUCCCCAAGGGAAAUCCAGGUGCAGAUUGUUCCUACAUCCCUCCUGUAAACACACAGCCACGGCUUUAAGCAGCGAACGUACUGGACCGCUGUCAGAUCUGUUUACACACCGAUGAGCGACUCCAA
Long non-coding RNA from Paramisgurnus dabryanus, 553 nucleotides. RefSeq lists it as uncharacterized. The record is from RefSeq and is a predicted model, not a curated record. Lineage: Eukaryota; Metazoa; Chordata; Actinopteri; Cypriniformes; Cobitidae.